CCUACGGGAGGCAGCAGUGAGGAAUAUUGGUCAAUGGGCGGAAGCCUGAACCAGCCAAGCAGCGUGCAGGAUGAAGGCCCUACGGGUUGUAAACUGCUUUUAUACGGGAAUAACGCGCCUUACGUGUAGGGCUUUGCAUGUACCGUAUGAAUAAGGACCGGCUAAUUCCGUGCCAGCAGCCGCGGUAAUACGGAAGGUCCGGGCGUUAUCCGGAUUUAUUGGGUUUAAAGGGAGCGUAGGCCGCAUGUUAAGCCUGCUGUGAAAGGUCCGGGCUCAACCCGGGCCCUGCAGGGCUAACUGGCGUGCUUGAGUCGGCGGAAAGCAUGCGGAAUGCGUGGUGUAGCGGUGAAAUGCUUAGAUAUGACGAAGAACCCCGAUUGCGAAGGCAGCUUGCUGCAGCGGAACUGACGCUGAUGCACGAAAGCGCGGGUAUCGAACAGGAUUAGAUACCCCGGUAGUC
Molecule: ribosomal RNA, 460 nt
Filed under: uncultured bacterium
Lineage: Bacteria
Description: partial 16S ribosomal RNA
Rfam family: Bacterial small subunit ribosomal RNA
Source: RNAcentral